Molecule: ribosomal RNA, 500 nt
Filed under: uncultured bacterium
Lineage: Bacteria
Description: partial 16S ribosomal RNA
Rfam family: Bacterial small subunit ribosomal RNA
Source: RNAcentral
AUUGAACGCUGGCGGAAUGCUUUACACAUGCAAGUCGAACGGCAGCACGGACUUCGGUCUGGUGGCGAGUGGCGAACGGGUGAGUAAUACAUCGGAACGUGCCCAGUCGUGGGGGAUAACGUAGCGAAAGCUACGCUAAUACCGCAUACGAUCUAAGGAUGAAAGCGGGGGAUCGCAAGACCUCGCGCGAUUGGAGCGGCCGAUGGCAGAUUAGGUAGUUGGUAGGGUAAAGGCCUACCAAGCCGACGAUCUGUAGCUGGUCUGAGAGGAUGAUCAGCCACACUGGGACUGAGACACGGCCCAGACUCCUACGGGAGGCAGGAGUGGGGAAUGUUGGACAAUGGGCGCAAGCCUGAUCCAGCCAUUCCGCGUGCAGGAUGAAGGCCUUCGGGUUGUAAACUGCUUUUGUACAGAACGAAAAGGCUCUGGUUAAUAUCCGGGGCUCAUGACGGUACUGUAAGAAUAAGCACCGGCUAACUACGUGCCAGCCGCCGCAGUAA